RNAcentral lists this long non-coding RNA (236 nucleotides) under Gossypium barbadense (sea-island cotton). RNAcentral describes it as "long non-coding RNA (GBAR_LNC011529)". The record is from RNAcentral. Lineage: Eukaryota; Viridiplantae; Streptophyta; Magnoliopsida; Malvales; Malvaceae.
UUUUUGCACACGGGCUAGGAUAAAGGCGUGUCAUAGCCGUGUGAAGAACAUGGGCCAAGGACACGGACGUGUGCCAGGCUGUGUGAAAACCCCUGUAGGUGUGCAUUUAAAAUUAUUUCCACAUGGGUGGAGGACACGGGCGUGUCCCUUUAUUGCCUAGGCUGUGUGAGCCACACAGGCCAACAGCACGACCAUGUCGAAUUGGUCACAUGGGCGUGUUGCCUCUCCCACACGGG